This 1517-nucleotide ribosomal RNA is filed under the name Escherichia coli 2-156-04_S3_C2. RNAcentral describes it as "bacterial SSU rRNA". It matches the Rfam family "Bacterial small subunit ribosomal RNA". Lineage: Bacteria; Pseudomonadati; Pseudomonadota; Gammaproteobacteria; Enterobacterales; Enterobacteriaceae. The record is from RNAcentral.
UUGAUCAUGGCUCAGAUUGAACGCUGGCGGCAGGCCUAACACAUGCAAGUCGAACGGUAACAGGAAUCAGCUUGCUGAUUUGCUGACGAGUGGCGGACGGGUGAGUAAUGUCUGGGAAACUGCCUGAUGGAGGGGGAUAACUACUGGAAACGGUAGCUAAUACCGCAUAACGUCGCAAGACCAAAGAGGGGGACCUUCGGGCCUCUUGCCAUCGGAUGUGCCCAGAUGGGAUUAGCUAGUAGGUGGGGUAACGGCUCACCUAGGCGACGAUCCCUAGCUGGUCUGAGAGGAUGACCAGCCACACUGGAACUGAGACACGGUCCAGACUCCUACGGGAGGCAGCAGUGGGGAAUAUUGCACAAUGGGCGCAAGCCUGAUGCAGCCAUGCCGCGUGUAUGAAGAAGGCCUUCGGGUUGUAAAGUACUUUCAGCGGGGAGGAAGGGAGUAAAGUUAAUACCUUUGCUCAUUGACGUUACCCGCAGAAGAAGCACCGGCUAACUCCGUGCCAGCAGCCGCGGUAAUACGGAGGGUGCAAGCGUUAAUCGGAAUUACUGGGCGUAAAGCGCACGCAGGCGGUUUGUUAAGUCAGAUGUGAAAUCCCCGGGCUCAACCUGGGAACUGCAUCUGAUACUGGCAAGCUUGAGUCUCGUAGAGGGGGGUAGAAUUCCAGGUGUAGCGGUGAAAUGCGUAGAGAUCUGGAGGAAUACCGGUGGCGAAGGCGGCCCCCUGGACGAAGACUGACGCUCAGGUGCGAAAGCGUGGGGAGCAAACAGGAUUAGAUACCCUGGUAGUCCACGCCGUAAACGAUGUCGACUUGGAGGUUGUGCCCUUGAGGCGUGGCUUCCGGAGCUAACGCGUUAAGUCGACCGCCUGGGGAGUACGGCCGCAAGGUUAAAACUCAAAUGAAUUGACGGGGGCCCGCACAAGCGGUGGAGCAUGUGGUUUAAUUCGAUGCAACGCGAAGAACCUUACCUGGUCUUGACAUCCACGGAAGUUUUCAGAGAUGAGAAUGUGCCUUCGGGAACCGUGAGACAGGUGCUGCAUGGCUGUCGUCAGCUCGUGUUGUGAAAUGUUGGGUUAAGUCCCGCAACGAGCGCAACCCUUAUCCUUUGUUGCCAGCGGUCCGGCCGGGAACUCAAAGGAGACUGCCAGUGAUAAACUGGAGGAAGGUAGGGAUGACGUCAAGUCAUCAUGGCCCUUACGACCAGGGCUACACACGUGCUACAAUGGCGCAUACAAAGAGAAGCGACCUCGCGAGAGCAAGCGGACCUCAUAAAGUGCGUCGUAGUCCGGAUUGGAGUCUGCAACUCGACUCCAUGAAGUCGGAAUCGCUAGUAAUCGUGGAUCAGAAUGCCACGGUGAAUACGUUCCCGGGCCUUGUACACACCGCCCGUCACACCAUGGGAGUGGGUUGCAAAAGAAGUAGGUAGCUUAACCUUCGGGAGGGCGCUUACCACUUUGUGAUUCAUGACUGGGGUGAAGUCGUAACAAGGUAACCGUAGGGGAACCUGCGGUUG